Oncorhynchus tshawytscha (Chinook salmon) is the source of this 2239-nucleotide long non-coding RNA. The record is from Ensembl. NCBI's taxonomy places the organism in Eukaryota, Metazoa, Chordata, Actinopteri, Salmoniformes, Salmonidae.
CUUUCUGUAAUAUCUCUCGUUGCGCCUUGACACCGAUCCAUUAGACUGAUCUAAGGAGUUUCACAUUGCGAGAGUAGUCUGUUAAAGCGUAGGAGCAGGAAACUUCGCUUCUCUUAAGAUAAGACCUCACACACCUCUCAGGAAGGAUUUACAGAGAGAGACACAUGUUGUACAUAUUAGGGAUUACCAUUGGCCUCAUUUGCAUCAUUAUAUGCAUUUCAAAUGGCCUAAAAGAGAGAAAUGCUUUGAUGCGCAGAAAUAAAGGUGGAAAUCCUCAAAAUCCUGAACACAAGGAAGCCAACAAGAAAAAGUUAACUGAACAAGACUAUCACUUGUUGGCCAAAGUCCUGUCAGUUGGAUUGGUAGACGCAGACCCCAAUUAUCUUCAACACCUCAAGAACUACAGGGACCUGCGUGGUAGCACUUCCUGAAGGAUCCACACACCAGGAAAUGCACCAGGAAAUAUUUUGCGAUGACGUAGUGUCCCCAUGAAUGACAGAACACUGAGCCAAUCACAGCACAACUAGAGAUGACCAACCUCUACGCUCUUUAUUUUCCGCUGGCUGCCCCUCCACCUCAGAAAGCACUGAGCUAGGCUGAAACACCUGCAUUUUGGAGCUGCCUUAAGAAAGCAAAAAAGAGACAUAUUCGUAUGUGGCUUUAUUAACUCAAUCAUAUUUUUUGCAAACUGAUAUGUGACACAUAUUAAUUCCAAAAUAAAAUGCAAAACAGGCACUUUUUUUUAGCUAAACAGGUGGGGCUCACCCUGAAUGAUGUGUUGCCACUGUUAACAGUACUGUGGUUCCCACGACCACUCCCGGACCAUCCGUAUUGCUAUGUCCUGACAUAUUUAACGAGGUUCUCCUCACUGUCCUCAAACUGCUCGCUUUCACCCCAUUCACCAUUCACGGCCCAGUCAUUGCCCAGCCACCUUCAGACUUGAAUUUGUGAAAAAAGACACCUGCAGAUCACAGUUGGCUAAUCCACAAGUUUGAAACACGCCGCCGUUCCAAAACUCAGCCUCCUCUUUUUUCAAGCCAGGCUAAAAUCAACAACACAUACAUACAUUUGUAUCUGACUAAUAAAUGACCUUACUUACCAGACCAAGUAUGCCAAGCCCAAGACUCCUAAAGGCCGCUACAUACUUCGCGCAAACAGAGCGACCUCGUAUAAUUUGAGCCACACAAAUGUAUGUAGAACUAAGUGUGAAAUCUACGCUCUGUCGCUGUGUUUGAGUAGUUUACUGAAGUGUGUAGGGUCACUAAGGCAGCUAAGCCAUUUUUUGGUACAUGACGUUGAAGCAAUAUCUCCCCAAGUAAGGUAGGCAUAACAACGGUGUGCUACAAAAAAACAUUGUAAAUACAUGUUACAAUAUGUACUGUUUUAACAGCCAACUUCCACAUUCACAACUUUUACAUUCACAAUCAUAUGUCUGUAAUUUAAAUGUACUGACCAUAGCAUGGCUCAUUCAGAGAGGAAAGAAGGCAUUUACCUAUUCUGGGUAGACAAGGUACCUGUCAUAGGAAAAAAUCAUCCAGAAAAGCAGCACCACAAAAUGAACAUUUUGACAGACAGAAUUAAAGAAAAAUGGCAGUAAAUCUAGUAGAAUGAGAUACUGUAUUACUAUCUCCCUAUGAUAAGGGAGAUUCCACGUUGGUGGUACUGUAUAUCAAGUAACAAUAUUUCACAUUAUUUCAAUCAUGCCUUCUCACCAUUCCUACAGGGAAGGCGAGGACAGAAAAGGUUAGGUAUUUCCAAUUGUAAAGACCCUUGGUUAAGUUUUUCCCUGUCUAAAGAUCAUUCACCACAAACAUCCCAAAUAACACCAUCUGCAAAACUUAAAUAUUGCACACAGAAGUUUCUUGGUUGUUACAUGUAUCAUGAAUAUACACGUACAGUAAAUUAUACAACAAAACUCAUACAGCCUCACAUGCCCUUGGAUAUACAGUUGAAGUCAGAAGUUUACAUACACUUAGGUUGGAGUCAUUAAAACUCGUUUUUCAACCACUCCACAAAUUUCUUGUUUACAAACUAUAGUUUCGUCAAGUCGGUUAGGACAUUUACUUUGUGCAUGACACAAGUAAUUUUUCCAACAAUUCUUAACAGACAGAUAAUUUCACUUGUAAUUCACUGAAUCACAAUUCCAGUGGGUCAGAAAUUUACAUACACUAAGUUGACUGUGCCUUCAAACAGCUUGGAAAAUGCCAGACAAUUAUGUCAUAGCUUUAGAAGCUUCUGA